RNAcentral lists this ribosomal RNA (2847 nucleotides) under Triticum aestivum (bread wheat). Its description in RNAcentral is "partial small subunit ribosomal RNA". Lineage: Eukaryota; Viridiplantae; Streptophyta; Magnoliopsida; Poales; Poaceae. The record is from RNAcentral.
AUGGCGGCGGCUCUCGGCUCGGCGGCCACGCUCCUCGGCAAGGUGUUCACUAUGCUGUCCGCCGCCCCGGUGGCGGCGUACGUGGACAGCCUGGAGCUCGGCCACAACUCCCAGCAGAUCAGGGCCAAGCUCGCGCACACGCGAGGCCUGCUGCACAACGCCCAAGCCCAGGUGAGCGACGUCGGCCACAACCCUGGACUGCAGGAGCUGCUGCCGGCGCUGAGCAGGAACGCCGACGAGGCGGAGGAUCUGCUGGAUGAGCUCCACUACUUCCAGAUCCAUGACAGGCUCCACGCCACCAACUACGCCGCCACCCAGGCCAAUUUUCUCCGUCAUGCUCGCAAUGCUCUCCGCCACACUGCCACCAGCAGCUGGGCCGCAUGCUUUUCUUGUUCCUCUGCACAAGAUGAUAGUGAUUCUACCAGUGGGGAUGAUGAGUUACGUUUCCACCGAGUGAUCUUCUCCAGAAAAUUCAAGUCGGUGUUACAGGACAUGCAGACGCACUGUGAUUCCGUCUCUGAUUUGCUUGGCAAUAUCCCAAGCAACAGCAUGCCAGUUGCUGUACACCGGCCGCAGAUUGGAUCCACAAUUAUACAAGAUACAUUGUAUGGCAGGAGACACACUUUUGAGGAAACUGUCAACCGUAUCAUCAGCUGCAAACACCCUGUUUCUGUUCUUCCUAUAGUUGGUCCAGGGGGUAUUGGAAAGACAACUUUUGCUCAACAUCUGUAUAAUGAUGCAAGGACUGAAGAGCACUUCCAAGUCAGGGUCUGGGUGUGUGUAUCCACUGAUUUCAAUGUGCUUAAGCUCACCAGGGAGAUCCUUGCCUGCAUACCUGCAACUGAAGAAGGAGGAAGCAGCAGUGUUGCAAAUGAAACAACCAAUUUAGAUCAUCUUCAGAGAUCCAUUGUGCGCCGUCUCAAGUCCAAGAGGUUUCUAAUUGUCUUGGACGAUAUAUGGAAAUGUGACAGUCAGGAUCAGUGGAAAACCUUGUUAGCUCCCUUCACAAAGGGGGAAACCAAAGGAAGCAUGCUACUUGUCACAACUCGAUUCCCAAAGCUAGCACAAAUGAUGGAAACAAUUGAUCCACUAGAGCUGCUAGGUUUGGAGUCUAAUGACUUCUUCACAUUCUUUGAAGCAUGUAUAUUUGGUGAAGACAACAAGCCAGAGCAUUUCGAAGAUGAGUUAGCUGGUAUUGCACAAAAAAUUGCAGACAAGCUAAAGGGUUCCCCGCUGGCAGCCAAAACAGUUGGUAGACUAUUGCACAAGGACCUUUCUCAGAAACAUUGGAAUGGAGUUCUUGAAAAGGGUGAGUGGCUAAAGCAGCAAAAUAAGGAUGAUAUCAUGCCAUCUUUAAAGAUUAGCUAUGAUUGCCUCCCUUUUGAUCUGAAGAAAUGCUUUUCCUAUUGUGGCCUUUUCCCUGAAGAUCAUAGAUUCACUUCUUCAGAAAUCAAUCAUUUCUGGGUUGCAAUAGGCAUCAUAGACUCUAAUCACCAAGGCGAUAGGAAUUACUUGGAAGAACUAGUGGACAAUGGUUUUCUCAUGAAGGAAUUCGAUUGGCGUGGUCAAUGCUGGUAUGUAAUGCAUGAUUUAAUGCAUGAGCUAUCUAACAGUGUUUCUGCACAAGAAUGCCUCAACAUAAGUGGCUUAGAUUUCAGUGCUGAUGCCAUCCCGCGAUCUGUCCGACACUUAUCUAUCAAUGUAGAAGACAGAUAUGAUGCAAAUUUUGAGGAAGAAAUGUCUAAAUUAAGGGAGAAGAUAGACAUUGCUAAUGUGCGGACUUUGAUGAUUUUUAGAGAAUAUGAAGAAGAAAGAACCGCCAAGAUAUUGAAAGAUAGCUUCAAGGAAAUAAAUAGUCUGCGUGUCCUAUUUAUAGUGGUGAAGUCUGCACAAUCUUUUCUGGAUAUGUUUUCAAAACUUAUCCACCUCCAGUACCUCAAAAUUAGUUCACCUCACAUUGACAGGGAAAUGAGGUUACCUAGUACACUAUCAAGAUUUUAUCACUUGAAAUUCCUGGACCUAGAUGAUUGGAAUGGUCGUUCUGAUUUGCCUGAAGACUUUAGCCACCUUGAGAAUUUACAUGAUUUCCGUGCUGGAAGUGAACUCCACUCCAAUAUUCGCAAUGUUGGAAAGAUGAAGCAUCUACAGAGGCUAAAAGUAUUCCAUGUCAGGAAGGAGAGCAUGGGAUUUGAACUGACAGAACUUGGGGCAUUGACAGAGCUUGAAGGAGGACUGAUUAUACGUGGUCUUGAACACGUGGCAACCAAGGAGGAAGCUACUGCAGCCAAACUGGUGUUGAAAAGGAACCUGAAGGAGUUGGAAUUACUCUGGGACAGAGAUCAACCAACUACAGAUGCUGAUAUUCUUGAUGCUCUUCAACCACACUCUAAUCUUAGAGUACUUACAAUUGCAAAUCAUGGUGGUAUGAUUGGUCCUAGCUGGUUGUGUCUUGACAUCUGGUUGACAAGUCUAGAGACUCUCACUCUAGAAGGCGUAUCUUGGAGCAACCUCCCACCUUUUGGGAAGCUACCAAAUCUCAAGGGCCUCUAUUUGAAUAAAAUUUCUGGAAUGCAUCAGUUUGGGCCUCUAUGUGGUGGCGCUCCAGGGAAAUGUUUUAUGCGCUUGAAGAAAGUUGGGUUUUAUGAGAUGCCAGAACUUGCUGAAUGGGUUGUGGAACCUAAUUGCCAUUCCUUUCCAAGUCUUGAAGAAAUCGAGUGCUUCAGUUGUCCCAACCUCCGUGUGAUGCCCUUCUCUGAGGUGAUUCAGAAGGGUUGCGUUAUGAUGGAAAGAAAUUGGUUGUUAGUGGGUAUGGCGGUGCUUUGGCCUCCCACAAUCUGGAUAAAGUAG